This 292-nucleotide ribosomal RNA is filed under the name uncultured bacterium. RNAcentral's name for it is "partial 16S ribosomal RNA". The record is from RNAcentral.
GGACUACCCGGGUAUCUAAUCCCGUUCGCUCCCCUGGCUUUCGCCCCUCAGCGUCAGGCGCCUCCCAGGACCCUGCCUGCGCCCUUGGUGUUCCUCCGGAUCUCUACGCAUUUCACCACUCCACCCGGAAUUCCAGGUCCCUCUGAGGCCCUCGAGUCCGCCCGUUUUUCCGACACUCCGCGCGUUGAGCACGCAGCUGGCAUCGGAAACGCGGCGAACCGCCUGCGGGCGCUUUACGCCCAGUAACUCCGGACAACGCUCGCCCCCUACGUAUUACCGCGGCUGCUGGCAC